This 92-nucleotide ribosomal RNA is filed under the name Mus spicilegus (steppe mouse). The record is from RNAcentral. Lineage: Eukaryota; Metazoa; Chordata; Mammalia; Rodentia; Muridae.
AUUCAUGGUCAUAGUGCCUUGAAUGUGCUUGAUCUCAUCUUAUCUCAGGAGCCAAGCAGGGUCUCAUUGCUUCACGUUUCUCUCCAUUUAGU